GGGGAAUAUUGGACAAUGGACCAAGAGUCUGAUCCAGCAAUUCUGUGUGCACGAUGACGUUUUUCGGAAUGUAAAGUGCUUUCAGUUGGGAAGAAAAAAAUGACGGCACCAACAGAAGAAGUGACGGCUAAAUACGUGCCAGCAGCCGCGGUAAUACGUACGUCACAAGCGUUAUCCGGAUUUAUUGGGCGUAAAGCGCGUCUAGGUGGUUAUGUAAGUCUGAUGUGAAAAUGCAGGGCUCAACUCUGUAUUGCGUUGGAAACUGUGUAACUAGAGUACUGGAGAGGUAAGCGGAACUACAAGUGUAGAGGUGAAAUUCGUAGAUAUUUGUAGGAAUGCCGAUGGGGAAGCCAGCUUACUGGACAGAUACUGACGCUGAAGCGCGAAAGCGUGGGUAGCAAACAGGAUUAGAUACCCUGGUAGUCCACGCCGUAAACGAUGAUUACUAGGUGUUGGGGGUCGAACCUCAGCGCCCAAGCAAACGCGAUAAGUAAUCCGCCUGGGGAGUACGUACGCAAGUAUG
RNAcentral lists this ribosomal RNA (523 nucleotides) under uncultured bacterium. RNAcentral's name for it is "bacterial SSU rRNA". It matches the Rfam family "Bacterial small subunit ribosomal RNA", at positions 356 to 896 of the family's 1533-position model. The record is from RNAcentral.